RNAcentral lists this ribosomal RNA (492 nucleotides) under uncultured bacterium. RNAcentral's name for it is "partial 16S ribosomal RNA". It matches the Rfam family "Bacterial small subunit ribosomal RNA", at positions 29 to 507 of the family's 1533-position model. The record is from RNAcentral.
AGUGAACGCUGGCGGUAGGCCUAACACAUGCCAGUCGAACGGCAGCACAGUAAGAGCUUGCUCUUACGGGUGGCGAGUGGCGGACGGGUGAGGAAUACAUCGGAAUCUACUUUUUCGUGGGGGAUAACGUAGGGAAACUUACGCUAAUACCGCAUACGACCUACGGGUGAAAGCAGGGGAUCUUCGGACCUUGCGCGAUUGAAUGAGCCGAUGUCGGAUUAGCUAGUUGGCGGGGUAAAGGCCCACCAAGGCGACGAUCCGUAGCUGGUCUGAGAGGAUGAUCAGCCACACUGGCACUGAGACACGGUCCCGACCACGACGGGAGGCACCCGUGUGGACUAUUGGACCAUGGGCGCAAGCCUGAUCCAGCCAUACCGCGUGGGUGAAGGAGGCCUUCGGGUUGGAAAGCACUUUUGUUGGGAAAGAAAAGCAGCAGGUUAAUACCUCGCUGUUAUGACGGUACCCAAAGAAUAAGCAACGGCUAACUUCGUG